Molecule: transfer RNA, 67 nt
Filed under: Marmota monax (woodchuck)
Lineage: Eukaryota; Metazoa; Chordata; Mammalia; Rodentia; Sciuridae
Description: tRNA.Thr
Source: RNAcentral
UGCAGCUCAGUGGUAGAGUGCUUGUGCAGUAUGUGUGAGGUCCUGGGUUCAAUCCCCAGCACUGCAA